AUUGAACGCUGGCGGCAUGCUUUACACAUGCAAGUCGAACGGCAGCGCGGGGCAACCUGGCGGCGAGUGGCGAACGGGUGAGUAAUAUAUCGGAACGUACCCAGAAGUGGGGGAUAACGUAGCGAAAGUUACGCUAAUACCGCAUACGAUCUACGGAUGAGAGUGGGGGACCUUCGGGCCUCAUGCUUGUGGAGCGGCGGAUAUCUGAUUAGCUAGUUGGUAGGGUAAAGGCUUACCAAGGCGACGAUCAGUAGCUGGUCUGAGAGGACGACCAGCCACACUGGGACUGAGACACGGCCCAGACUCCUACGGGAGGCAGCAGUGGGGAAUUUUGGACAAUGGGCGCAAGCCUGAUCCAGCAAUGCCGCGUGAGUGAAGAAGGCCUUCGGGUUGUAAAGCUCUUUUGUCAGGGAAGAAACGGUGCGGACUAAUAUUCUGCGCUAAUGACGGUACCUGAAGAAUAAGCACCGGCUAACUACGUGCCAGCCGCCGCAGUAA
Molecule: ribosomal RNA, 498 nt
Filed under: uncultured bacterium
Lineage: Bacteria
Description: partial 16S ribosomal RNA
Rfam family: Bacterial small subunit ribosomal RNA
Source: RNAcentral